UACGUAGGGUGCGGGCGUUAAUCGGAUUUACUGGGCGUAAAGCGUGCGCAGGCGGCCCGUUAAGACAGGUGUGAAAUCCCUGGGCUCAACCUAGGAAUUGCGCUUGUGACUGGCGGGCUCGAGUACGGUAGAGGGGGGUGGAAUUCCUGGUGUAGCAGUGAAAUGCGUAGAGAUCAGGAGGAACACCGAUGGCGAAGGCAGCCCCCUGGGCCUGUACUGACGCUCAUGCACGAAAGCGUGGGGAGCAAACAGG
This 253-nucleotide ribosomal RNA is filed under the name uncultured microorganism. RNAcentral's name for it is "partial 16S ribosomal RNA". It matches the Rfam family "Bacterial small subunit ribosomal RNA", at positions 524 to 776 of the family's 1533-position model. The record is from RNAcentral.